RNAcentral lists this non-coding RNA (25 nucleotides) under Cricetulus griseus (Chinese hamster). The record is from RNAcentral. Lineage: Eukaryota; Metazoa; Chordata; Mammalia; Rodentia; Cricetidae.
GUGGAGCCAACAAGAGAUGCUGCAG